UGACUUCUGGAGAGUCUCCCCUACGGGAGCGCCGAAGGUGUACGGCGGACAGAUCCGGGUCCGCUUAUCUCUCAGGCAAAAGGACAGAAU
Molecule: non-coding RNA, 90 nt
Filed under: bovine gut metagenome
Description: Glycine riboswitch
Rfam family: Glycine riboswitch aptamer
About the family: This family represents the bacterial glycine riboswitch. Glycine riboswitches usually consist of two metabolite-binding aptamers domains with similar structures in tandem. The aptamers cooperatively bind glycine to regulate the expression of downstream genes.
Source: RNAcentral